AGUGAACGCUGGCGGCAUGGCUAAGACAUGCAAGUCGAACGGGAUUGCUUUCAAUGAACCUUCGGGUGAUUUGAUUGCAUGAGAGUGGCGAACGGGUGCGUAACACGUGAACAAUCUACCUUAAAGUUGGGGAUAGCUCGGGGAAACUCGAAUUAAUACCGAAUGUGGUUCCUCCUCGCAUGUGGAGGAUACUAAAGCUUGUAAUGGCGCUUUAAGAGGGGUUCGCGGCCUAUCAGCUUGUUGGUGAGGUAACGGCUCACCAAGGCUAAGACGGGUAGCUGGUCUGAGAGGAUGAUCAGCCACACUGGAACUGAGACACGGUCCAG
RNAcentral lists this ribosomal RNA (326 nucleotides) under uncultured bacterium. Its description in RNAcentral is "bacterial SSU rRNA". It matches the Rfam family "Bacterial small subunit ribosomal RNA", at positions 29 to 334 of the family's 1533-position model. The record is from RNAcentral.